RNAcentral lists this ribosomal RNA (433 nucleotides) under uncultured bacterium. RNAcentral describes it as "partial 16S ribosomal RNA". It matches the Rfam family "Bacterial small subunit ribosomal RNA", at positions 29 to 507 of the family's 1533-position model. The record is from RNAcentral.
AACGAACGCUGGCGGCAUGCCUAACACAUGCAAGUCGAACGAGACCUUCGGGUCUAGUGGCGCACGUGUGCGUAACGCGUGGGAACCUGCCCUUAGGUUCGGAAUAACUCCCCGAAAGGGGUGCUAAUACCGGAUAAUGUCUUCGGACCAAAGAUUUAUCGCCUUUGGAUGGGCCCGCGUUGGAUUAGCUAGUUGGUAGGGUAAAAGCCUACCAUGGCGACGAUCCAUAGCUGGUCUGAGAGGAAGAUCAGCCACACUGGGACUGAGACACGGCCCAGACUCCUACGGGAGGCAGCAGUGGGGAAUAUUGGACAAGGGGCGAAAGCCUGAUCCAGCAAUGCCGCGUGAGUGAUGAAGGCCGUAGGGUUGUAAAGCUCUUUUACACGGGAUGAUAAUGACAGUACCGGGAGAAUAAGCACCGGCUAACUCCGUG